GGGUCAGGCCUUGGGCUAACGUAGGCACUCUCGCAGUUCCUCCGCCUUCAGGAAGGUCUUUUUAGCAGGGGCCUUACGGGUGCAUGCUUCGGUCCUGGAGGACUUAGGCUAGCCUCCUCUCCAUCAGCGCCACCCGUCUGGGGCCCGAAAGGAGGGAGCUUUCCCUCUGUCCCCCAGCCUUUGGACUGUCACCAAACAAGCCAUUCGUUCACCAAAUACUUUUUAAGCGCCUACCAUGUGCCUGACAAGGGAUAUGUAACGGUGAGAAAAACUAGGUGUGGUCCAGGCCCUUCAGGGACUCAGGGGCUCGUGGAAGAAGUGGAUAUUGAAGUACUUAUCACACAAAGGAGGAUAAAAGUACGAUAGCGAUAUCUACCACGAAGCUGUUGUUCCACACCAGAACCAAAUGAGCGCAAGAUCUGACAAAAAAAAAAGUCCCUGUAUCCUGAGAUGGAGUCACCUGAGAAUCCACAGCAAGUCCUAACCAGGGAUGGGUCUGGGUGAUUAAGGAAGAUUGGCUUCAGAACUGGGCCAGGGGCACUGCUUUGCUUUUGCUGUUUUGAUCAGCUCUCUGCCUGCAGGAGACGAGGAAAACCAAUGGGAACAGGCGCAGGAAUGGGAGGCAGCAGCUGUGGAAGCCAGGGUCUCUGGCAGUCCUUGUCUCUGGGCGGUGAUCCAGAAAGAGAGAGAACACGAUUGUCUCAGCACUGGGUCUUCUUCUGAGUCAUCUUGAAGGAGCAAUUCCAGAGCGUCUCGGUGUUAAACAUCAUGUUGUGAAUGACUCAGUGAUCUCUGACCCAGAGACCUUGGGGAUAAAGGAGGGGAGGUACGGAGAAGCUCUUCGAAUGGAUGUUACCGGCGUGUCAGUGUUCUUUGAGGCCACAGGCUAUGUGUCACCAAAUUGAAGGGGUGGCCUGCCCCUCCACACCUGUGGGUAUUUCUAGUCGGGUGGGAUGAGAGACAGAGAAAAGAAAUAAGACACAGAGACAAAGUACAGGGAAACAACAGUGGGUCCAGGGGACUGGCACUCAGCACACCAGGACCUGCACGAGCACUGGCCUCUGAGUUCCCUCAGUUUUUAUUGAUUAUGAUUUUCAUUAUUUCAGCAAAAAGGAAUGUAAUAGGAGAGCAGGGUGAUAAUAAGCAGAAUGUCAACAAAAAACAUGUGAGCAAAAUAAUCUAUAUCAUAAUUAAGUUCAAGGGAAGGUAUAUGACUGGACUUGCAUGUAGUCGACAUUUAUGUUUCUCUCCACCCAAACAUCUCAGUGGAGUAAAGAAUAACAUGGCAGCAUUACUGCAACAUGUCUCGCCUCCCGCCACAGGGCAGCUUUUAUCCUAGCUCAGACUUGAACAAAUGUACAAUCGGGUUUACACCGAGACAUUCAAUUCCCAGGGGCAAGCAGGAGACAGUGGCCUUCCUCCAUCUCAACUGCAAGAGGCUUUCCUCUUUUACUAAUCCGCCUCAGCACAGACCCUUUACGGGUGUCAGGCUGGGGGACAGUCAGGUCUUUCUCAUUCCAUGAGGCCAUAUUUCAGACUAUCACAUGGGGAGAAACCUUGGACAAAACCCUGCUUUCAAGGGCAGGGCUCCCUGCGGCUCUCCACUGUGCAUUGUGCCCCUGGUUUAUUGUGACUAGAGAAUGGCAAUGACUUUUACCAACUUUACUGCUUGUAAACAUUUGGUUAACAAGGCACGUCCUGCACAGCCCUAGAUCCCUUAAACCUUGAUUUUAGACAACACAUGUUUUUGUGAACUCCAAGUUGGGUCAAAGUGACUGGGGCAAAGUGGCUGGGGCAAAGCUACAAAUGAACAACAUCUCAGCAAAGCAAUUGUUAGAGUACAGGUCUUUUUCAAAGUGGAGUCUCUUAUGUCUUCCCUUUCUACAUAGACACAGUGACAGUCUGAUCUCUCUCUUUUCCCUACAUUUCCCCCUUUUCUUUUUAACAAAACCGCCAUCGUCAUCAUGGCCCCUUCUCACUGGUCGCUGUCUCUCCGGAGCUGCUGGAUACACCUGUAGACUAACAAUAGAGAGGACAGACAUACAAAAAUUAAUACAAAAUUUGCAAUAGUGGAAUUUCCAAUGGUUUUAACCCAAGUGACAGGGUUAAGAUUUGUGAGGCUAUCAACAGCUUUUACCAUUGCCUCCGUUUCUGACACCAGAUUUAACUGGGCUUUUGAGGUUUCAAAAAUUUGUUCUUUCAAUUUAGAAAUAUCUAAGGUAAGAUUAUCUUCUCUUCCUUGUAGAUGGCGUCUAACCAUGUCCCAGUGAUGUUCAGGUUCAUUAUAGGCUCAAGGUUUAAUACAAAAAUCUGACGUAUUCCAGUC
Long non-coding RNA from Homo sapiens (human), 2326 nucleotides. The record is from Ensembl. NCBI's taxonomy places the organism in Eukaryota, Metazoa, Chordata, Mammalia, Primates, Hominidae.